AUUAUUUUAAAGCAUAUAAAGCAAAAAGAGUUUAACUAUUUCAUAUCCUUACACUCAGCACUAAUGAUUAUAAACCUUAUCUAAGCAUAAAAUACAUAUGAACAAGAAAAGUUAACUACUUCAUAUUCUUACAACUACAGCUCCCACAAUGCAGCAGGUGGUGUGAGAGCAUGCUGGGAGACUACUGUGAUGGGAUUCCAGCAUGGUCAAAAUUUAGU
This is a non-coding RNA of Pelobates cultripes (western spadefoot toad), 218 nucleotides long. NCBI's taxonomy places the organism in Eukaryota, Metazoa, Chordata, Amphibia, Anura, Pelobatidae. The record is from the annotation of a GenBank genome assembly.